UGGGGAAUCUUGCGCAAUGGGCGAAAGCCUGACGCAGCGACGCCGCGUGGGGGAAGAAGGCCUUCGGGUUGUAAACCUCUUUCAGCAGGGACGAAGCCACUCGGGUUAAUAGCCCAGAGGGUGACGGUACCUGCAGAAGAAGCCCCGGCUAACUACGUGCCAGCAGCCGCGGUAAUACGUAGGGGGCAAGCGUUGUCCGGAUUUAUUGGGCGUAAAGAGCGUGUAGGCGGCCAGACAGGUCCGUUGUGAAAACUAGAGGCUUAACCUCUAGACGUCGAUGGAAACCGUCUGGCUAGAGUCCGGAAGAGGAGAAUGGAAUUCCUGGUGUAGCGGUGAAAUGCGCAGAUAUCAGGAAGAACACCCGUGGCUAAGGCGGUUCUCUAGUACGGUACUGACGCUGAGACGCGAAAGCGUGGGGAGCGAACA
RNAcentral lists this ribosomal RNA (426 nucleotides) under uncultured bacterium. Its description in RNAcentral is "bacterial SSU rRNA". It matches the Rfam family "Bacterial small subunit ribosomal RNA", at positions 355 to 774 of the family's 1533-position model. The record is from RNAcentral. RNAcentral also lists the same sequence under 1 other name.